This 932-nucleotide ribosomal RNA is filed under the name uncultured fungus. RNAcentral describes it as "SSU rRNA". It matches the Rfam family "Eukaryotic small subunit ribosomal RNA", at positions 564 to 1536 of the family's 1831-position model. Lineage: Eukaryota; Fungi. The record is from RNAcentral.
GUGCCAGCCGCCUGCGGUAAUUCCAGCUCCAAUAGCGUAUAUUAAAGUUGUUGUGGUUAAAAAGCUCGUAGUUGAACCUUGGGCCUGGCUGGCCGGUCCGCCUCACCGCGUGCACUGGUCCGGCCGGGCCUUUCCCUCUGUGGAACCCCAUACCCUUCACUGGGCGUGGCGGGGAAACAGGACAUUUACUUUGAAAAAAUUAGAGUGCUCCAGGCAGGCCUAUGCUCGAAUACAUUAGCAUGGAAUAAUAAAAUAGGACGCGCGGUUCUAUUUUGUUGGUUUAUAGGACCGCCGUAAUGAUUAAUAGGGACAGUCGGGGGCAUCAGUAUUCAACUGUCAGAGGUGAAAUUCUUGGAUCAGUUGAAGACUAACUACUGCGAAAGCAUUUGCCAAGGAUGUUUUCAUUAAUCAGGAACGAAAGUUAGGGGAUCGAAGACGAUCAGAUACCGUCGUAGUCUUAACCAUAAACUAUGCCGACUAGGGAUCGGACGGUGUUAUUCAUGACCCGUUCGGCACCUUACGAGAAAUCAAAGUGCUUGGGCUCCAGGGGGAGUAUGGUCGCAAGGCUGAAACUUAAAGAAAUUGACGGAAGGGCACCACCAGGGGUGGAGCCUGCGGCUUAAUUUGACUCAACACGGGGAAACUCACCAGGUCCAGACACAAUAAGGAUUGACAGAUUGAGAGCUCUUUCUUGAUUUGUGGGUGGUGGUGCAUGGCCGUUCUUAGUUGGUGGGGUGACUUGUCUGCUUAAUUGCGAUAACGAACGAGACCUUAACCUGCUAAAUAGCCCGCAUUGCUCCGGCAGUGCGCUGGCUUCUAAGAGGAACUUUCGCUCAAGGCCGAAGGAAGUUGAGCAAUAACAGGUCUGUGAUGCCCUAGAUGUUCUGGACGCAGCGGGCCUACAUGACGGGUCCGGCGAGUUCCUUGCUCGA